GGCCUGAUGGUCUAGUAGCAUGAUUCCUCGUUCGGGUCUACUUUUCGCGAGACCACAGAGCACACUCAAGUUCUGGAAAUUCGAGGAGGUCCCGGGUUCAAUUCCCGGUCAGGCCC
Non-coding RNA from Coprinopsis cinerea okayama7#130, 116 nucleotides. Lineage: Eukaryota; Fungi; Basidiomycota; Agaricomycetes; Agaricales; Psathyrellaceae. The record is from the annotation of a RefSeq genome assembly.